RNAcentral lists this unclassified non-coding RNA (240 nucleotides) under soil metagenome. Its description in RNAcentral is "partial contains 5.8S ribosomal RNA, internal transcribed spacer 2, and large subunit ribosomal RNA". The record is from RNAcentral.
AACAUCGCGCACCUGCGGGAACCUGCGGAGGGAUCAUUACAGAGUUGCAAGACUCCCUAAACCAUUGUGAACGUUACCUAAACCGUUGCUUCGGCGGGCGGCCCGGGUCCUUCCCGGCGCCCCUCGGCCCUCGCGGGCGCCCGCCGGAGGUAAACCAAACUAUUGCAUUGUAUGGCCUCUCUGAGUCUUCUGUACUGAAUAAGUCAAAACUUUUAGCAACGGAUCUCAGAUCGGAAGAGC